UUGAGAUGGUUGAGUAUCUCGCCCCUCAAUUCUCGCUGUAUUGAGAUGGUUGAGUAUCUCGCCCCUCAAUUCUCGCUGUAAACUUCAAACCUGUUUAAUUUUCAAUCAGCGUCUGAACAAAUUAAUAAUUACAACUUUCAACAACGGAUCUCUUGGUUCUGGCAUCGAUGAAGAACGCAGCGAAAUGCGAUAAGUAGUGUGAAUUGCAGAAUUCAGUGAAUCAUCGAAUCUUUGAACGCACAUUGCGCCCCUUGGUAUUCCAUGGGGCAUGCCUGUUCGAGCGUCAUUUGUACCUUCAAGCUCUGCUUGGUGUUGGGUGUUUGUCCUUGCUCUAGUGGCGGGACUCGCCUUAAAGUAAUUGGCAGCCAGUGUUUUGGUUUUGAAGCGCAGCACAAGUCGCGAUUCAAGUCUAUACGCUAGUUUCCACAAGUCUUUUAUCACUUUUGACCUCGGAU
This 455-nucleotide ribosomal RNA is filed under the name Pleosporales sp. H7. Its description in RNAcentral is "eukaryotic LSU rRNA". The stretch from base 133 to 286 matches the Rfam family "5.8S ribosomal RNA". Lineage: Eukaryota; Fungi; Ascomycota; Dothideomycetes; Pleosporales. The record is from RNAcentral.